UGGGGGAAACCCUGAUGCCAGCCAUGCCCGCGUGUAGCGAUGAAGGCCUUCGGGUUGUAAAGCUCUUUUGGCAGGGAAGAAACUGUGGCUGGGCUCUAAUACCCCGAGAAACUGAGCUGGUUCCUGGACAAUAAGCGCCGGGUAACUACGUGCCAGCAGCCG
Molecule: ribosomal RNA, 162 nt
Filed under: uncultured bacterium
Lineage: Bacteria
Description: partial 16S ribosomal RNA
Rfam family: Bacterial small subunit ribosomal RNA
Source: RNAcentral